GAUGAACGCUGGCGGCGUGCAUAACACAUUCAAGUCGAACGGUGACGCACCUUCGGGUGCUGAUCAGUGGCGGACGGGUGAGUAACGCGUGAGCAAUCUGCCCUAUACUCAGGGAUAACACAGGGAAACUUGUGCUAAUACCUGAUGACAUAUACGGAUCGCAUGUUCUGUAUAUCAAAGCUCCGGUGGUAUAGGAUGAGCUCGCGUAUGAUUAGAUAGUUGGUGAGGUAACGGCUCACCAAGCCGACGAUCAGUAGCCGGACUGAGAGGUUGACCGGCCACAUUGGAACUGAGAUACGGUCCAGACUCCUACGGGAGGCAGCAGUGGGGAAUAUUGGGCAAUGGGCGAAAGCCUGACCCAGCGACGCCGCGUGAGGGAAGAAGGUCUUCGGAUUGUAAACCUUUGUUGACAGGGACGAAGAAAGUGACGGUACCUGUCGAGGAAGCCACGGCUAACUACGUG
Molecule: ribosomal RNA, 463 nt
Filed under: uncultured bacterium
Lineage: Bacteria
Description: bacterial SSU rRNA
Rfam family: Bacterial small subunit ribosomal RNA
Source: RNAcentral